Molecule: ribosomal RNA, 287 nt
Filed under: uncultured bacterium
Lineage: Bacteria
Description: partial 16S ribosomal RNA
Rfam family: Bacterial small subunit ribosomal RNA
Source: RNAcentral
AGAGUUUGAUCCUGGCUAUCAGAUGAGCCCAUGUCAGAUUAGCUUGUUGGUGAGGUAAAGGCUCACCAAGGCGACGAUCUGUAACUGGUCUGAGAGGAUGAUCAGUCACACUGGAACUGAGACAUGGUCCAGACUCCUACGGGAGGCAGCAGUGAGGAAUAUUGGACAAUGGGCGCAAGCCUGAUCCAGCCAUGCCGCGUGAGUGAAGAAGGCCUUCGGGUUGUAAAGCUCUUUCAGAUGUGAAGAUAAUGACGGUAGCAUCAGAAGAAGCCCCGGCUAAAUUCGUG